Molecule: ribosomal RNA, 468 nt
Filed under: uncultured bacterium
Lineage: Bacteria
Description: partial 16S ribosomal RNA
Rfam family: Bacterial small subunit ribosomal RNA
Source: RNAcentral
GACGAACGCUGGCGGCGUGCUUAACACAUGCAAGUCGAACGGAAAGGCCCUGCUUUUGUGGGGUGCUCGAGUGGCGAACGGGUGAGUAACACGUGAGUAACCUGCCCUUGACUUUGGGAUAACUUCAGGAAACUGGGGCUAAUACCGGAUAGGAGCUCCUGCUGCAUGGUGGGGGUUGGAAAGUUUCGGCGGUUGGGGAUGGACUCGCGGCUUAUCAGCUUGUUGGUGGGGUAGUGGCUUACCAAGGCUUUGACGGGUAGCCGGCCUGAGAGGGUGACCGGCCACAUUGGGACUGAGAUACGGCCCAGACUCCUACGGGGGGCAGCAGUGGGGAAUAUUGCACAAUGGGCGGAAGCCUGAUGCAGCAACCCCGCGUGCGGGAUGACGGCCUUCGGGUUGUAAACCGCUUUCGCCUGUGACGAAGCGUGAGUGACGGUAAUGGGUAAAGAAGCACCGGCUAACUACGUG